GAUGAACGCUGGCGGCGUGCCUAAUACAUGCAAGUCGAGCGAACGGACGAGAAGCUUGCUUCUCUGAUGUUAGCGGCGGACGGGUGAGUAACACGUGGAUAACCUACCUAUAAGACUGGGAUAACUUCGGGAAACCGGAGCUAAUACCGGAUAAUAUUUUGAACCGCAUGGUUCAAAAGUGAAAGACGGUCUUGCUGUCACUUAUAAAUGGAUCCGCGCUGCAUUAGCUAGUUGGUAAGGUAACGGCUUACCAAGGCAACGAUGCAUAGCCGACCUGAGAGGGUGAUCGGCCACACUGGAACUGAGACACGGUCCAGACUCCUACGGGAGGCAGCAGUAGGGAAUCUUCCGCAAUGGGCGAAAGCCUGACGGAGCAACGCCGCGUGAGUGAUGAAGGUCUUCGGAUCGUAAAACUCUGUUAUUAGGGAAGAACAUAUGUGUAAGUAACUGUGCACAUCUUGACGGUACCUAAUCAGAAAGCCACGGCUAACUACGUGCCAGCAGCCGCGGUAAUACGUAGGUGGCAAGCGUUAUCCGGAAUUAUUGGGCGUAAAGCGCGCGUAGGCGGUUUUUUAAGUCUGAUGUGAAAGCCCACGGCUCAACCGUGGAGGGUCAUUGGAAACUGGAAAACUUGAGUGCAGAAGAGGAAAGUGGAAUUCCAUGUGUAGCGGUGAAAUGCGCAGAGAUAUGGAGGAACACCAGUGGCGAAGGCGACUUUCUGGUCUGUAACUGACGCUGAUGUGCGAAAGCGUGGGGACCAAACAGGAUUAGAUACCCUGGUAGUCCACGCCGUAAACGAUGAGUGCUAAGUGUUAGGGGGUUUCCGCCCCUUAGUGCUGCAGCUAACGCAUUAAGCACUCCGCCUGGGGAGUACGACCGCAAGGUUGAAACUCAAAGGAAUUGACGGGGACCCGCACAAGCGGUGGAGCAUGUGGUUUAAUUCGAAGCAACGCGAAGAACCUUACCAAAUCUUGACAUCCUUUGACAACUCUAGAGAUAGAGCCUUCCCCUUCGGGGGACAAAGUGACAGGUGGUGCAUGGUUGUCGUCAGCUCGUGUCGUGAGAUGUUGGGUUAAGUCCCGCAACGAGCGCAACCCUUAAGCUUAGUUGCCAUCAUUAAGUUGGGCACUCUAAGUUGACUGCCGGUGACAAACCGGAGGAAGGUGGGGAUGACGUCAAAUCAUCAUGCCCCUUAUGAUUUGGGCUACACACGUGCUACAAUGGACAAUACAAAGGGCAGCGAAACCGCGAGGUCAAGCAAAUCCCAUAAAGUUGUUCUCAGUUCGGAUUGUAGUCUGCAACUCGACUACAUGAAGCUGGAAUCGCUAGUAAUCGUAGAUCAGCAUGCUACGGUGAAUACGUUCCCGGGUCU
This 1372-nucleotide ribosomal RNA is filed under the name uncultured bacterium. RNAcentral describes it as "bacterial SSU rRNA". It matches the Rfam family "Bacterial small subunit ribosomal RNA", at positions 28 to 1381 of the family's 1533-position model. The record is from RNAcentral.